GAGAGAGAGAGAUAGACAAAGAGAGAAAGAGAGCACACACGCUAAGUAAGAGUUGAUUGUUAAGAAUCUGUAGUUUGCGCAGGGAGAGGAAGGGGCGUCAGCAGCCAGGGUGAGCAGAUUUAAAGAGGCAAUUUAAUGACAUCACUAUUGAUUUCAGACUCCUGCAGUGUCCCCUGAACCUUGUACUAUAUUCAGAUUAAAGUCUAGGUUGCUAUUAAAUAAAUGAAGAACAAAAUAAUGGGGGGGGGGGGUGAAAUUGAAGCUUUCCUCUUAUGCUAACCUCCUGCUAUAACCUGGCAGGAUAGCUACUUUCCAAUAUUUUAAGAAGUUAUUUAUAUACAAGGGAAGUGUGUUUUAAAGAAUUCUAAGAAAGAAAAGGAAAGUCUAAUGUUACAAGACACUGCAGGGAAAUGUCACUGUGUAAUAACUCCCACCUGGGUUGGGUGGCAGGGUUUGGGCUUUGUGCCCAACAAUGCAUCAUGUUAUAUAAUAACACACACCCUCCUUCUGUGCCUUGCUGCCUUGCUUUUACAAUACACGUGGUGCAUGAACAGGGCAGGAUGCACCGGUGCCAAUGGUGACAGUGCAGAAUGCACCAAGAAAUAGGAAUGCAGACAUAUUAUGAAGACAAAAAGACAGGCUCAGCGUGGUGGCUCACGCCUGUAAUCCCAGCAAUUUGGGAGGCUAAGGUGGGCAGAUCA
This is a long non-coding RNA of Sapajus apella (tufted capuchin), 701 nucleotides long. RefSeq lists it as uncharacterized. The record is from RefSeq and is a predicted model, not a curated record. NCBI's taxonomy places the organism in Eukaryota, Metazoa, Chordata, Mammalia, Primates, Cebidae. The transcript is spliced from 3 exons.